RNAcentral lists this ribosomal RNA (483 nucleotides) under uncultured bacterium. Its description in RNAcentral is "partial 16S ribosomal RNA". It matches the Rfam family "Bacterial small subunit ribosomal RNA", at positions 30 to 506 of the family's 1533-position model. The record is from RNAcentral.
AUUGAACGCUGGCGGCAGGCCUAACACAUGCCAGUCGAGCGGAUGAAGGGAGCUUGCUCCUGGAUUCAGCGGCGGACGGGUGAGUAAUGCCUAGGAAUCUGCCUGGUAGUGGGGGAUAACGUCCGGAAACGGGCGCUAAUACCGCAUACGUCCUGAGGGAGAAAGUGGGGGAUCUUCGGACCUCACGCUAUCAGAUGAGCCUAGGUCGGAUUAGCUAGUUGGUGGGGUAAAGGCCUACCAAGGCGACGAUCCGUAACUGGUCUGAGAGGAUGAUCAGUCACACUGGAACUGAGACACGGUCCAGACUCCUACGGGAGGCAGCAGUGGGGAAUAUUGGACAAUGGGCUAAAGCCUGAUCCAGCCAUGCCGCGUGUGUGAAGAAGGUCUUCGGAUUGUAAAGCACUUUAAGUUGGGAGGAAGGGCAGUAAGUUAAUACCUUGCUGUUUUGACGUUACCAACAGAAUAAGCACCGGCUAACUUCGU